RNAcentral lists this ribosomal RNA (395 nucleotides) under uncultured bacterium. RNAcentral's name for it is "partial 16S ribosomal RNA". It matches the Rfam family "Bacterial small subunit ribosomal RNA", at positions 361 to 776 of the family's 1533-position model. The record is from RNAcentral.
AUCUUCGGCAAUGGGCGAAAGCCUGACCGAGCGACGCCGCGUGGAGGAUGAAGGCNUUNNGGUCGNANACUCCUAAAAGAGGGNNNNNAGCGACGGUACCUCUUGAAAAGCACCGGCUAACUCCGUGCCAGCAGCCGCGGUAAUACGGAGGGUGCAAGCGUUAUCCGGAAUCACUGGGCGUAAGGGCGCGUAGGCGGUCUGUUAAGUCCGAUGUUAAAGGCUGGGGCUCAACCCCAGUAAAGCGUUGGAUACUGGCAGGCUAGACGGUUGGAGAGGCGAGUAGAAUUACCAGUGUAGCGGUGAAAUGCGUAGAUACUGGUAGGAACACCCAUGGCGAAGGCGGCUCGCUGGACAACCCGUGACGCUGAGGCGCGAAAGUGUGGGGAGCAAACCGG